This 441-nucleotide ribosomal RNA is filed under the name uncultured bacterium. RNAcentral's name for it is "partial 16S ribosomal RNA". It matches the Rfam family "Bacterial small subunit ribosomal RNA", at positions 338 to 795 of the family's 1533-position model. The record is from RNAcentral.
CCUACGGGUGGCAGCAGUGGGGAAUAUUGCACAAUGGGGGAAACCCUGAUGCAGCGACGCCGCGUGAGUGAAGAAGUAUUUCGGUAUGUAAAGCUCUAUCAGCAGGGAAGAAGAAAGACGGUAGCUGACUAAGAAGCCCCGGCUAACUACGUGCCAGCAGCCGCGGUAAUACGUAGGGGGCAAGCGUUAUCCGGAUUUACUGGGUGUAAAGGGAGCGUAGACGGCUGUGCAAGUCUGAAGUGAAAGCCCAAGGCUCAACCCUGGGAGUGCAUUGGAAACUGGGGAGCUAGAGUGCUGGAGAGGUAAGUGGAAUUCCUAGUGUAGCGGUGAAAUGCGUAGAUAUUAGGAGGAACACCAAUGGCGAAGGCAGCUUACUAAACAGUAACUGACGUUGAGGCUCGAAAGCGUGGGGAGCAAACAGGAUUAGAUACCCGAGUAGUC